Molecule: long non-coding RNA, 1278 nt
Filed under: Piliocolobus tephrosceles (Ugandan red Colobus)
Lineage: Eukaryota; Metazoa; Chordata; Mammalia; Primates; Cercopithecidae
Description: lncRNA (ENSPTEG00000002757.1)
Source: RNAcentral
GAAAAUAAAAAUAAUGGAAAUGACAACAAAACAACAACUAAUGGAACAUAUAAAAUGAGUAGUUAUAAUAAUAUAAAUAGAAAAAAUUUAAAAAAGAAUUAUAUGAAAAACUGCACAAGUAACAACCAAUAUAACGUAUCUAAUAAUUUAUAUAUGUAUUGUAAUGAUUACAGUGGCAUAUACAAUUAUAAUAACAAUCACAGUAAUAAGGACAGCAUGAAUACUAUUAGUGGUAGUGUUGAUGUUUUAAGUAGUAGCAGUAAUGUGGCAUGUGCAAGUAGCAGUAAUGUGGCAUGCGCAAGUAACAGUAAUGUGGCAUGCGCAAGUAGCAGUAAUGUGGCAUGCGCAAGUAGUAAUAACAACGUGUGUACCAGUAAUAAUAACACAAGUUACCAUAAUGGCAAACAUGAAAACAAAAAUUCAAAAAACAAAGUGCAACUUUUUAAAGCCUGGCAGAAAAAAAGUUUAAAAAAAAAGUACGUAACAGAUAACAUUACUUGCUUAAAAGUUUAUGAAAAUAAAGAAAAAAAUGAUACUCAUAAAAGUUUUAAAAAGAUACAAGCUAAUAGAAGUAGUUUAGAUAAUAAGUACAAUUUAGAUCAAGGAAAUAUAGAGUGUACUACUACUGAAUAUUUACAAAAUAAUAAAACCGUAAAAAAGGAAGAGAGUAAUAGUAACAAUAAUGGUGAUAUUAGUAAUGCUAAUAAUAGUAAUGCUAAUAAUAAUGAUGUUAAUAAUAGUAAUGCUAAUAAUAAUGAUGUUAAUAAUAGUAAUGCUAAUAAUAAUGAUGUUAAUGAUAAUGAUGUUAAUGAUAAUGAUGUUAAUGAUNNNNNNNNNNUAAUGAUGUUAAUGAUAAUGAUGUUAAUGAUAAUGAUGUUAAUGAUAGUAAUGUUAAUAAUUGUAGUAGCAGCAAUAAUAGUAAUGCCAACAGCAAUAACCAUAGCAACAACAACGGUGACAGUGUCAGUGACAGUGCCAGUGCCAGUAACAAUAUGCAUUAUAAUUAUAAACGUAACGAAGAAGAAACUCAUAAAAACAUCAUGUAUAAUUGUUUUGAUAAACCUGACGAAUAUAAUACAACAUGUGGGACAAAUAAAAAAAAAGAUGACAUAAAGGAAAAGGAUAAACUGCCAGAACAUAUGACAAUGUCAAAAGAAUAUAUAAAAAAAUGUGACACGAAUGAAACAAAAAAAGAUGAGGAUGUAACUAAUUAUUCGGAAAAAAUAGACGAUUUAUCUUCUGACUUGUGCAAAAAUAAAAAAGACGAUAAACAUAACA